RNAcentral lists this ribosomal RNA (96 nucleotides) under Thermoactinomyces sp. CICC 10522. The record is from RNAcentral. Lineage: Bacteria; Bacillati; Bacillota; Bacilli; Caryophanales; Thermoactinomycetaceae.
UCUGGUGAUGAUAGCGGAGGGGAUCCACCCGUUCCCAUCCCGAACACGGAAGUUAAGCCCUCCAGCGCCGAUGGUACUUGGGGUUCACCCCUGGGA